This 371-nucleotide ribosomal RNA is filed under the name uncultured bacterium. RNAcentral's name for it is "bacterial SSU rRNA". It matches the Rfam family "Bacterial small subunit ribosomal RNA", at positions 355 to 755 of the family's 1533-position model. The record is from RNAcentral.
UGGGGAAGUCUUGCGCAAUGGGCGGAGGCCUGACGCAGCAACGCCGCGUGUGGGAAGACGGCCUUCGGUUGUAACACUUCAGGGGACGCGGUACCCCACGAAGAAGCCCCGGCUAACUACGUGCCAGCAGCCGCGGUAAUACGUAGGGGGCGAGCGUUGUCCGGAAUCAUUGGGCGUAAAGCGCGUGUAGGCGGCUCGAUCAGUCUGGUGUGAAACCUUGGGGCUCAACCCCAAGCCUGCACUGGAUACUGUCGAGCUUGAGUCCGGGAGGGGAGAGCGGAAUUCCUAGUGUAGCGGUGAAAUGCGCAGAUAUUAGGAAGAACACCGGUGGCGAAGGCGGCUCUCUGGAACGGUACUGACGCUGAGACGCG